This 471-nucleotide ribosomal RNA is filed under the name uncultured bacterium. RNAcentral's name for it is "SSU rRNA". It matches the Rfam family "Bacterial small subunit ribosomal RNA", at positions 26 to 518 of the family's 1533-position model. The record is from RNAcentral.
AGGAUGAACGCUGGCGGCGUGCUUAACACAUGCAAGUCGAACGAUGAACCUCACUUGUGGGGGGAUUAGUGGCGAACGGGUGAGUAACACGUGAGUAACCUGCCCUUAACUCUGGGAUAAGCCUGGGAAACUGGGUCUAAUACCGGAUAUGACUCCUCAUCGCAUGGUGGGGGUGGAAAGCUUUUUGUGGUUUUGGAUGGACUCGCGGCCUAUCAGCUUGUUGGUGAGGUAAUGGCUCACCAAGGCGACGACGGGUAGCCGGCCUGAGAGGGUGACCGGCCACACUGGGACUGAGACACGGCCCAGACUCCUACGGGAGGCAGCAGUGGGGAAUAUUGCACAAUGGGCGCAAGCCUGAUGCAGCGACGCCGCGUGAGGGAUGACGGCCUUCGGUUGUAACCUCUUUAGUAGGGAGAAGCGAAAGUGACGGUACCUGCAGAAAAGCACCGGCUAACUACGUGCCAGCAGCGC